UUUUUACAGCGUGAAAGCAAAAUAAAUUCAUAUAUACGGUAACACAAAUAAGCAGAGUAUGAAAUUUAAUUUACAAUGACGUGUGGGUCCUCGAAUGACCAAAGGUAACAAAGGCUGUGGACCUACAAUUUUUGAGAAGACGAGUCCAAUAAUAACCCUCGACGUAAUCAGCUAUUUACUGACUAUCCUGAACCUGGAAUGAGUGGAAAGGAAGGUGGUGAGUUUAUAUAAACUCAGUGAGUAAAUAAACAUCAUCUAAAAUAUCUAAAGUCGAGUAAAUGGAGACAACUUAAAAUAGUUCAUCGUACUAUGAUUCAUA
This 319-nucleotide long non-coding RNA is filed under the name Theobroma cacao (cacao). RNAcentral's name for it is "long non-coding RNA (TCAC_LNC001988)". The record is from RNAcentral. Lineage: Eukaryota; Viridiplantae; Streptophyta; Magnoliopsida; Malvales; Malvaceae.